GCCUUCGUGGUGUAAUGGUCAGCACAUUGAGCCGGUAUUUCAUAUUUCAGAGGUCCGUGGUUCGAUCCCCGGCGAAGGCA
RNAcentral lists this transfer RNA (80 nucleotides) under Stegodyphus mimosarum. It matches the Rfam family "tRNA". Rfam says of the family: Transfer RNA (tRNA) molecules are approximately 80 nucleotides in length. Their secondary structure includes four short double-helical elements and three loops (D, anti-codon, and T loops). The record is from Rfam by way of RNAcentral. Lineage: Eukaryota; Metazoa; Arthropoda; Arachnida; Araneae; Eresidae.